UACGAGGGGGGCGAGCGUUGUUCGGAAUUAUUGGGCGUAAAGGGUGCGUAGGUGGCGCCAUAAGUCAGGUGUGAAAUCUCGGGGCUCAACCCCGAAACUGCAUUUGAUACUGUGGUGCUCGAGUACUGGAGAGGAGAUUGGAAUUUACGGUGUAGCAGUGAAAUGCGUAGAUAUCGUAAGGAAGACCAGUGGCGAAGGCGAAUCUCUGGACAGUUACUGACACUGAGGCACGAAGGCCAGGGGAGCAAACGGG
RNAcentral lists this ribosomal RNA (253 nucleotides) under uncultured bacterium. RNAcentral describes it as "partial 16S ribosomal RNA". It matches the Rfam family "Bacterial small subunit ribosomal RNA", at positions 524 to 776 of the family's 1533-position model. The record is from RNAcentral.